Molecule: long non-coding RNA, 891 nt
Filed under: Astyanax mexicanus (Mexican tetra)
Lineage: Eukaryota; Metazoa; Chordata; Actinopteri; Characiformes; Acestrorhamphidae
Description: lncRNA (ENSAMXG00005010065.1)
Source: RNAcentral
UUGUCUAUUUAUUUGGCAGUGGAUGCAAACAUGAUGGGCACAGAAGCCACCCCUUUUGCUACACUCUCCCCCUUUUUUCACAUCCCGCUGGACUCUGGAGGUUUGAGCAUCCUGGUCUGUGUGGUCAAUGAUGUUCUAAACAGAGAUGGAGGAAUGUCCUGGCUUUCCAGAGGCAGCAGCAGGAGCAGCAGGAGCAGCUCUGGGCCUGUUCUCUACAAUGUACUGGAUCAUGAAGGCAGCACUGAGAGUGCAGUGUCUGUUCACUCGUUGGUUUCGACGUACACUUGCUUUGUGAGUCACAGGAGCUCUAUUCCCCUCAUGCACAGAGACUUUGGUGGAUUCCAGAGAAAGAGAAUAGAUGUAAAUGAAGAAGACAUGAAGGAUGUGUGUUCAGAACAUGGAGAUGACUUCACUAAAGUUAUCAGGUUUCAUACGGAUCUUCUGAUCAUACAGGCUCUCAGAAUGCUCUGCCUGAAGAUCACCAUUUUCAACGUCUUGAUUACGACACAGGCUGUCAUAAAAUGAAUGUCAUACAGUCCUGAAAACCUGGAGAAAUUAAGUCUAAAGGCAGACAGUAGUUGAGCAGAGCUACUUGGAUGUAGCCCACUCCUGCAGAAGAGACCCCCGCCAGUCUAAAGGAGAACUGAACUACUAAACACAGCUGAACGAGUGUUUUGAAUGUUGGGUUUUUCCUCACACGUUCUGAUCAGAUUGGUGCAGGUGCUGCAUUAUGUGGCGUGAGAAUGAGGAGAUAUCUGAUCAUAAACUAACCUCAGACUCUGAAGAACACAGCAGGUGAAGUGCACUACACACAGCUCUGUACUGUUCUUUCACUAAUGGGUGCUUUUUCUUUUUAAUGUCUUCAAUAAAAACACUUGAAAUAUAGACUCA